This is a small nucleolar RNA of Saimiri boliviensis boliviensis (Bolivian squirrel monkey), 101 nucleotides long. RefSeq annotates it as small nucleolar RNA U13. The record is from RefSeq and is a predicted model, not a curated record. NCBI's taxonomy places the organism in Eukaryota, Metazoa, Chordata, Mammalia, Primates, Cebidae.
AUCUGUUUGCAGUUCAUCAGCGUGAGCAUUGGGUUUUCACACUCAUGUGUGGGAUGUGCCUCCCUCAAACCUUGUAAGGUCUGCCUGUUACCAGCCCAAUG